This 521-nucleotide ribosomal RNA is filed under the name uncultured bacterium. RNAcentral describes it as "bacterial SSU rRNA". It matches the Rfam family "Bacterial small subunit ribosomal RNA", at positions 25 to 518 of the family's 1533-position model. The record is from RNAcentral.
CAGGACGAACGCUGGCGGCGUGCCUAAUACAUGCAAGUCGAACGGUCUUUCUAUGGAAGCUUGCUUCCACUGAGAAGAUAGUGGCGAACGGGUGAGUAACACGUGGGUAACCUGCCCAUAAGAGGGGGAUAACAUCCGGAAACGGGUGCUAAUACCGCAUAGUUUUUCUUGAUCGCAUGAUUGAGAAAGGAAAGACGGCCUUUGUGCUGUCGCUUAUGGAUGGACCCGCGGCGUAUUAGUUAGUUGGUGAGGUAACGGCUCACCAAGACGAUGAUACGUAGCCGACCUGAGAGGGUGAUCGGCCACAUUGGGACUGAGACACGGCCCAAACUCCUACGGGAGGCAGCAGUAGGGAAUCUUCCGCAAUGGACGAAAGUCUGACGGAGCAACGCCGCGUGAGUGAAGAAGGUUUUCGGAAUCGUAAAACUCUGUUGUCAGAGAAGAACAAGUUGGAGAGUAACUGCUCCAGCCUUGACGGUAUCUGACCAGAAAGCCACGGCUAACUACGUGCCAGCAGCAGC